Molecule: small RNA, 2089 nt
Filed under: Arabidopsis thaliana (thale cress)
Lineage: Eukaryota; Viridiplantae; Streptophyta; Magnoliopsida; Brassicales; Brassicaceae
Description: ATSL043320
Source: RNAcentral
UAAAAAAAUAUCGAUUAAAAUAAAACUAAAUAGCGAAUAUUACAAUAUACGUAACAGACAUUAAAAAAAAAACAUAAAAUUAUCGCUUAUAAUAAAAUACAUGCCUCAUAAUUAAUCUUCAUCUUCCAAAAUAUUUUGAUGAGUUUCAUUUAAAUUAGGUGCCCGUUUCCUUCUCCAAAUAUUGAAUAAUCCCCCUGGUUUUUGUGUUCAUCGUAUUUGGUGCGGUUUCAUCUUCAGUUCCUAGUGAAAAUCUACGUUGAACAUUUACCAGAGGAACCUAUUGUGAAGAAUUUGGUGAAUUUUUCAUUGUGAAACAUUUGAUGAUGAGCACCAUAGUUGAUAUGUAUUCUACUGUGGAGCAAAUGGUGGUGAGUUCCAUUGUGGACCAUUUGAUGGUGAACUCCAAUUUGGAUCAUUUGAUGAUGAACCCCAUUCUCCAUUCUGAAACAUUUGGUGAUGAACCCAAUUGCAGAACAUUUGAUGGUGAACUCCAUCGUGGAGCAGUUGAUGAUGAACCUCACUGCAGACCAUUUGACAGUCAAUCAGAGCAGUUGAUGAUGAACCCCACUGCGGACCAUUUGAUGGUGAACUCCAAUUUGCAUUAUUUGAUGAUGAAUCCCAUUUCUAAGCAUUUGGUGAUAUGCUCAAUUGUUGAACACUUGGUGAUGAACUCCAUUGUGGCCCAUUUGAAAGAGUACCCAUUCUGCAGCACUUGGUGAAGUACCCCAUUAUGGAGCAUUUGGGGAUGUAUCCCACGAAUUACCAUCAACAUAAGGAUUCAUGUAAGGAAAACCGCCAGACAUUGGACUACCAUAAGGAAAACAACCAGAACUUGGACUCUCAAAAUGAUGACCUGUGUUGAAUUCUUUCUGACAAGUUCAUCAUCGCGUGUAUAUCUUAAUAGAGUUGGUAAAAACUGUAUUUUAUCUUCGUAAGGUUUGUCAGCUCUAGCAAUAAAAUACUUACGCCAAAAUUUGUCUUCUUUAAAUUCCUUAAUGAAUGACCAAUAAGAUUAUGUUGGAUGGAAAAUCCAUUUCUUCAAAUAUCUUCACAGCUAGAUCACACUCGUCGAAAUCCUUUUGGUCGAAUGAAGUUGGGCGUAAACUUUGGCGUUGAAACUCACAAAAACCAGUCAUCAUAUCUGUUAGCGUUCUCUCAAAAGAUUGCUUUCUUUGACUUCCUUGUGAAACACUUGCAAUGUCACACAUGAAUAUCCCACAAGUCUUUGUAAAGUACUUCCACGUCUUCCACAACCUCGUUGUGAACUCUUUAAGCAAAAAUCUGGAUUGGAUAAAACUGAUGGAGAAUUUUGGCGAGUAUAUUCGUUGAUGAUCUCAUUUGUAGUGCGUGUUUCAUCAUCAAUAUUAACGCGAUACACCUCUUCACUUUCUUGUGUCUUUAGAACUUGACUUUCAAGCAUUUAAUCAUAAUAUGUUUCUGAGUAAGUUUACCUUGGUUAUUAGUUGUGCUUUCGUUAAUAAUCUCUUCUCUUCACUUGUUUACAGAGUAUAGAGAUUGGGAUUCAAUUUUAUAUAAUCUGAAACAACGUUGCAUCACAUCCCAAAGUUUUGGCGAUUUUCGUUGAAAGGAAUGUAUAAUCUUACAUACAUGUUAUUGAAAAAAAAAUGAAAUACAUAUUCUGAACAUAAAAUUUAGUAAUCAUAUUUAGGUAGUGAGAGAUAUCCUAAAUACUUAUUUCUUUCUCUCUCCACUAUGAAUUACUUGUAUUUAUUUGAUAUGUGAUAGGAUAAAUCUUGAUACUUGUGUUAUCCCUGAGUUGUAAAUACUUCUUGUAUUUUUGUUUUCAACUGGUCAAGAUUUUCUUUGAAGAAACGAUAGUUUAUAUUGAGAUUAAAUUUCUUAUUAAAAUUUUCAACCAAAAACUCUUUACCAAGGGGUGUAGGAUCUUUUAAAAGGUAAUUAUUCAUGGAAAUUGCUUAAUCAUAUAACUCAAGAAAUAUUCUUUCUCGGCUAGGUUCUAUUUGAAAUUAUCUCGACUCUACAAGUUUUUUUUCAGUGAGUUUAUUUAAUAAAAAAAGCUUACUUAUUCUUGUUAGAUUUUCUAAAAAUUCUCUUCUUUAUUCUUUCA